CCUACGGGUGGCAGCAGUGAGGAAUAUUGGUCAAUGGUCGGGAGACUGAACCAGCCAAGUCGCGUGAGGGAUGAAGGUACAGAGUAUCGUAAACCUCUUUUGUCAGGGAACAAAGGCGGGGACGCGUCACCGGUUGAGUGUACCUGAAGAAAAAGCAUCGGCUAACUCCGUGCCAGCAGCCGCGGUAAUACGGAGGAUGCGAGCGUUAUCCGGAUUUAUUGGGUUUAAAGGGUGCGUAGGCGGGGUGAUAAGUUAGAGGUGAAAUCCGGAGGCUCAACUUCGGAAUUGCCUCUGAUACUGUUGAGCUAGAGAGUAGUUGCGGUAGGCGGAAUGUAUGGUGUAGCGGUGAAAUGCUUAGAGAUCAUGCAGAACACCGAUUGCGAAGGCAGCUUACCAGGCUACUUCUGACGUUGAGGCACGAAAGCGUGGGGAGCAAACAGGAUUAGAUACCCCUGUAGUC
RNAcentral lists this ribosomal RNA (460 nucleotides) under uncultured bacterium. Its description in RNAcentral is "partial 16S ribosomal RNA". It matches the Rfam family "Bacterial small subunit ribosomal RNA", at positions 338 to 795 of the family's 1533-position model. The record is from RNAcentral.